GAUGAACGCUGGCGGCGUGCCUAAUACAUGCAAGUCGAGCGAACGGACGAGAAGCUUGCUCCCCUGAUGUUAGCGGCGGACGGGUGAGUAACACGUGGAUAACCUACCUAUAAGACUGGGAUAAUUUCGGGAAACCGUAGCUAAUACCGGAUAAUAUUUUGAACCGCAUGGUUCAAAAGUGAAAGACGGUUUUGCUGUCACUUAUAGAUGGAUCCGCGCUGCAUUAGCUAGUUGGUAAGGUAACGGCUUACCAAGGCAACGAUGCAUAGCCGACCUGAGAGGGUGAUCGGCCACACUGGAACUGAGACACGGUCUAGACUCCUACGGGAGGCAGCAGUGGGGAAUCUUCCGCAAUGGGCGAAAGCCUGACGGAGCAACGCCGCGUGAGUGAUGAAGGUCUUCGGGUCGUAAAGCUCUGUUGUUGGGGAAGAACAUAUGUAUAAGUAACUGUGCACAUCUUGACGGUACCUAAUCAAAAAGCCACGGCUAACUACGUG
RNAcentral lists this ribosomal RNA (497 nucleotides) under uncultured bacterium. RNAcentral describes it as "partial 16S ribosomal RNA". It matches the Rfam family "Bacterial small subunit ribosomal RNA", at positions 28 to 507 of the family's 1533-position model. The record is from RNAcentral.